Suricata suricatta (meerkat) is the source of this 161-nucleotide small nuclear RNA. Its record names the gene U1. It matches the Rfam family "U1 spliceosomal RNA". Rfam says of the family: U1 is a small nuclear RNA (snRNA) component of the spliceosome (involved in pre-mRNA splicing). The record is from Ensembl. Lineage: Eukaryota; Metazoa; Chordata; Mammalia; Carnivora; Herpestidae.
AUCUUAAAUUGGUGAUUAAUCACCCUUAGCCUUUCAUUUUUCUCAGGUUCUUGAGGCUUAUCCACUGCACUCUAAAUGUACUGACCCCUGCGAUUUCCCCAAAUUUGGGAAAUUCAACUGCAUAAUUUGUGGUCAUAGGGACUGUGUUCACGCUUUCCCCU